AUCAGGAAAGGGCGAGAAAACAAGAUAAAGAACAUGGUUUUGCCACUCUACAAAACCAUGGAACACCCUUCCUGAAAUACCACAUGGAAUCCUGGCCACUCUAUCUUAAAAAGGAAGCAGUAUCUCUGCUAGAAUUCAGGGCAGUAAGAGCACAAACUGAAGACUGAAGCAAGAUAACAUAAUCAUGGGCUGGAACUGAGGAAAAUCUGAGAGCUGUAACUCAUAAAAAUGUCUGUCCUGGACAA
Molecule: long non-coding RNA, 245 nt
Organism: Tachyglossus aculeatus (Australian echidna)
Lineage: Eukaryota; Metazoa; Chordata; Mammalia; Monotremata; Tachyglossidae
Exons: 2
Source: RefSeq, a predicted model, not a curated record